AUAAACCCGGGAAACUGGGUAUAAUACCCGAUAGAUCUCGGCUGCUGGAAUGCAUCGAGCUCUAAAGCUCCGGCGCCUGAGGAUGGGUCUGCGGCCUAUCAGGUAGUAGUGGGUGUAGCGUACCUACUAGCCUACGACGGGUACGGGUUGUGAGAGCAAGAGCCCGGAGAUGGAUUCUGAGACACGAAUCCAGGCCCUACGGGGUGCAGCAGGCGCGAAAACUUUACAAUGCCGGCAACGGCGAUAAGGGGACCUCGAGUGCCAGGUUACAAAUCUGGCUGUCGUGAUGCCUAAAAAGCAUUGCAUAGCAAGGGCCGGGCAAGACCGGUGCCAGCCGCCGCGGUAACACCGGCGGCUCGAGUGGUAACCGUUAUUAUUGGGUCUAAAGGGUCUGUAGCCGGCCGGAUAAGUCUCUUGGGAAAUCCAGCAGCUUAACUGUUGGGCUUUCAGGAGAUACUGUCUGGCUCGAGGCCGGGAGAGGUGAGAGGUACUUCAGGGGUAGGGGUGAAAUCUUGUAAUCCUUGAAGGACCACCAGUGGCGAAGGCGUCUCACCAGAACGGACCUGACGGCAAGGGACGAAAGCUAGGGGCACGAACCGGAUUAGAUACCCGGGUAGUCCUAGCCGUAAACGAUACUCGCUAGGUGUCGGCCACGGUGCGACCGUUGUCGGUGCCGUAGGGAAGCCGUGAAGCGAGCCACCUGGGAAGU
Molecule: ribosomal RNA, 709 nt
Filed under: uncultured Methanosaeta sp.
Lineage: Archaea; Methanobacteriati; Methanobacteriota; Methanomicrobia; Methanotrichales; Methanotrichaceae
Description: bacterial SSU rRNA
Rfam family: Archaeal small subunit ribosomal RNA
Source: RNAcentral